Molecule: ribosomal RNA, 683 nt
Filed under: uncultured Lachnospiraceae bacterium
Lineage: Bacteria; Bacillati; Bacillota; Clostridia; Lachnospirales; Lachnospiraceae
Description: bacterial SSU rRNA
Rfam family: Bacterial small subunit ribosomal RNA
Source: RNAcentral
UAACACAUGCAAGUCGAGCGAAGCACUUUGCUUAGAUUCUUCGGAUGAAGAGGAUUGUGACUGAGCGGCGGACGGGUGAGUAACGCGUGGGUAACCUGCCUCAUACAGGGGGAUAACAGUUAGAAAUGACUGCUAAUACCGCAUAAGACCACAGCACCGCAUGGUGCAGGGGUAAAAACUCCGGUGGUAUGAGAUGGACCCGCGUCUGAUUAGCUAGUUGGUAAGGUAACGGCUUACCAAGGCGACGAUCAGUAGCCGACCUGAGAGGGUGACCGGCCACAUUGGGACUGAGACACGGCCCAAACUCCUACGGGAGGCAGCAGUGGGGAAUAUUGCACAAUGGGGGAAACCCUGAUGCAGCGACGCCGCGUGAGCGAAGAAGUAUUUCGGUAUGUAAAGCUCUAUCAGCAGGGAAGAAAAUGACGGUACCUGACUAAGAAGCACCGGCUAAAUACGUGCCAGCAGCCGCGGUAAUACGUAUGGUGCAAGCGUUAUCCGGAUUUACUGGGUGUAAAGGGAGCGUAGACGGAUGGGCAAGUCUGAUGUGAAAACCCGGGGCUCAACCCCGGGACUGCAUUGGAAACUGUUCAUCUAGAGUGCUGGAGAGGUAAGUGGAAUUCCUAGUGUAGCGGUGAAAUGCGUAGAUAUUAGGAGGAACACCAGUGGCGAAGGCGGCUUACUGG